GUCUACAGCCAUACCACCAUGAACGCGCCCGAUCUCGUCUGAUCUCGGAAGCUAAGCAGGGUCGGGCCUGGUUAGUACUUGGAUGGGAGACAAUGCUUACAAAUACAGGCAUCUAGGGCCU
This 121-nucleotide ribosomal RNA is filed under the name Oryctolagus cuniculus (rabbit). The record is from RNAcentral. Lineage: Eukaryota; Metazoa; Chordata; Mammalia; Lagomorpha; Leporidae.